RNAcentral lists this ribosomal RNA (918 nucleotides) under Triticum aestivum (bread wheat). RNAcentral describes it as "partial small subunit ribosomal RNA". The record is from RNAcentral. Lineage: Eukaryota; Viridiplantae; Streptophyta; Magnoliopsida; Poales; Poaceae.
AUGGUUCAGGUAAUGGAGUUCCUGGUACUGAGGCAAGACAAGAAUGAAAUUUGCAUUUCACCUCCAAGUCUUUCAUAUUACAACUCUAUAUAUCAGCAUGAUUUAGACGCAUGCUUAUCGAUAGAGACCGUUAAGAGCAUUAACCAUUCCUUACCCUCUCUUCAUCACUAUAUAAGUGACACCCAUUCAUUAGUAUCUUGCCUUCUUUUUCCUCGAGAGGCAGUAUAUCACGCCUUCCAAUAUAUACACAAGCCGUAUACCGCCUCUUCAGUUCAGAACAAGAGUUUCUCGCCCUGCUUCAGAACAAGAGCAGACACAAGACCACAAACACGAAAAGGAAGAACCAGAUCUGGUGCAGGGACCUCUCCACCUCCAUCUGCUGCCUCCUCAGCCGGGGACCCAAGGUGUGGUCCGCGACAGCGUAGGGGCUUGUGUAGUACAUGCUCGGCGGCACCUGGCCGCGGAACGCCCACGGAAGCACUGCCUCUGCCAUCCCUCCAAGCACCCCUCCGGCCGUCGAGUGGAUCAGGCCACGCCCCAUUGGCGAAGGAGGGUAGACAAAGUCGAAUUCGGUGGCACCAGGAUGGUGGUGGUGCGCAUGCCGCAGUGGCCGGAGCAGAGGGCUGGGCUCCACAUUGUGAUGGUGCCGGUCAUCAUCGAUGCUGCUUUGUGCGUGCUGGUGCGCAACAUUCUCCCGAUGCACCGUUGGCCGUCGAGGAAUGGCCAUGCCAUCCAGUGAUUUCUUCGAGCUACCACCACGGCCAUAGAGCGGCACGAGGCUGUCAGCAGAUAGUGCGGCCUUGCACACAGGGCACUGCUGCCUUGCUGAAGUGCUGUUGGCACCAGAAGCUGAUACCACCGAUGGGCGCAGCCACUCAUAGAUGCAGGGCCAGCAGUAGAGAUGGCCACAGAGGGUAA